UGGUGGAGCGAUUUGUCUGGUUAAUUCCGAUAACGAACGAGACUCUAGCCUGCUAAAUAGACGGGCGAUCCCUUGUGGGUCGAUCCGAUUUGCUUCUUAGAGGGACAAGUGGCGUUCCUAGCCACACGAAAUUGAGCAAUAACA
This 144-nucleotide ribosomal RNA is filed under the name uncultured eukaryote. RNAcentral's name for it is "partial 18S ribosomal RNA". It matches the Rfam family "Eukaryotic small subunit ribosomal RNA", at positions 1299 to 1458 of the family's 1831-position model. The record is from RNAcentral.